CGGGUGAGUAACACGUAGAUAAUCUGCCUUCAGACGGGGACAACUCAGGGAAACUUGUGCUAAUACCCGAUGAGACCACAAGAAGGGAUUUUUUGUGGCCAAAGGCGGGCAGCAAUGCUCGUGCUGAAAGAUGAGUCUGCGUCCUAUCAGCUAGUUGGUGGGGUAAAUGCCUACCAAGGCUAAGACGGGUAGCCGGCCUGAGAGGGUGAACGGCCACACUGGGACUGAGACACGGCCCAGACUCCUACGGGAGGCAGCAGUGAGGAAUUUUCCGCAAUGGGCGCAAGCCUGACGGAGCGACGCCGCGUGAGGGAUUAGACAGCUUUCGGGUUGUAAACCUCUUUUAUUAAGGAAAAAGAUCUAUAUGCUAAUAUCAUGUAGACUUUUGACUGGUACUUAUUCGUAAGUAAGCCCGGCUAACUACGUGCCAGCCGCCGC
Molecule: ribosomal RNA, 438 nt
Filed under: uncultured bacterium
Lineage: Bacteria
Description: bacterial SSU rRNA
Rfam family: Bacterial small subunit ribosomal RNA
Source: RNAcentral